RNAcentral lists this ribosomal RNA (397 nucleotides) under uncultured bacterium. RNAcentral's name for it is "bacterial SSU rRNA". It matches the Rfam family "Bacterial small subunit ribosomal RNA", at positions 362 to 776 of the family's 1533-position model. The record is from RNAcentral.
UAUUGGUCAAUGGGGGAAACCCUGAACCAGCAACGCCGCGUGAGGGAAGACGGUUUUCGGAUUGUAAACCUCUGUCCUCUGUGAAGAUAAUGACGGUAGCAGAGGAGGAAGCUCCGGCUAACUACGUGCCAGCAGCCGCGGUAAUACGUAGGGAGCAAGCGUUGUCCGGAUUUACUGGGUGUAAAGGGUGCGUAGGCGGCCUUGCAAGUCAGAAGUGAAAUCCAUGGGCUUAACCCGUGAACUGCUUUUGAAACUGUAGGGCUUGAGUGAAGUAGAGGCAGGCGGAAUUCCCGGUGUAGCGGUGAAAUGCGUAGAUAUUAGGAGGAACACCAGUGGCGAAGGCGGCCUGCUGGACUGUAACUGACGUUGAGGCUCGAAGGCGUGGGGAGCAAACAGG